RNAcentral lists this transfer RNA (72 nucleotides) under Erinaceus europaeus (western European hedgehog). It matches the Rfam family "tRNA". From Rfam's summary of the family: Transfer RNA (tRNA) molecules are approximately 80 nucleotides in length. Their secondary structure includes four short double-helical elements and three loops (D, anti-codon, and T loops). Lineage: Eukaryota; Metazoa; Chordata; Mammalia; Eulipotyphla; Erinaceidae. The record is from Rfam by way of RNAcentral.
GAAGGUGUAGCCCAGUGGUAGAGUGCAUUGUUUGCAUGUAUGAGGCCCCGGGUUCGAACCCCAGCACUUCCA